CUAGGGAUAAUUGGCCGAUCUUCCCCAAGAGUCCACAUCGACGGGAAGGUUUGGCACCUCGAUGUCGGCUCUUCGCCGCCUGGAGCUGUAGGUGGCGUCCACAUCAAAAGAGCAAUCAUAACCUAGAGUGCUAAAUAGAUUUUCAGCUCUAACUCUAUCAAUUUGAGUCUCCACAAUACAAAGCACUUUAGGGGCAAACUUAGUCACGAUCUCGCGUAGCUCUUGAACUGUUGGGGCGUUGCCUAUACCUCGACAGUUCCAGCAUAC
RNAcentral lists this ribosomal RNA (267 nucleotides) under Triticum aestivum (bread wheat). Its description in RNAcentral is "partial small subunit ribosomal RNA". Lineage: Eukaryota; Viridiplantae; Streptophyta; Magnoliopsida; Poales; Poaceae. The record is from RNAcentral.